This 460-nucleotide ribosomal RNA is filed under the name uncultured bacterium. RNAcentral describes it as "partial 16S ribosomal RNA". It matches the Rfam family "Bacterial small subunit ribosomal RNA", at positions 338 to 795 of the family's 1533-position model. The record is from RNAcentral.
CCUACGGGUGGCAGCAGUGAGGAAUAUUGGUCAAUGGACGAGAGUCUGAACCAGCCAAGUAGCGUGAAGGAUGACUGCCCUAUGGGUUGUAAACUUCUUUUAUAUGGGAAUAAAAUGUUCCACGUGUGGGAUUUUGUAUGUACCAUAUGAAUAAGGAUCGGCUAACUCCGUGCCAGCAGCCGCGGUAAUACGGAGGAUCCGAGCGUGAUCCGGAUUUAUUGGGUUUAAAGGGAGCGUAGGUGGAUUGUUAAGUCAGUUGUGAAAGUUUGCGGCUCAACCGUAAAAUUGCAGUUGAAACUGGCAGUCUUGAGUACAGUAGAGGUGGGCGGAAUUCGUGGUGUAGCGGUGAAAUGCUUAGAUAUCACGAAGAACUCCGAUUGCGAAGGCAGUUCACUGGACUGUAACUGACACUGAGGCUCGAAAGUGUGGGUAUCAAACAGGAUUAGAUACCCUGGUAGUC